RNAcentral lists this unclassified non-coding RNA (226 nucleotides) under Hevea brasiliensis (rubber tree). Lineage: Eukaryota; Viridiplantae; Streptophyta; Magnoliopsida; Malpighiales; Euphorbiaceae. The record is from RNAcentral.
CAACUAGGAAGGCUCUGAUACUAUGCAAAGAAAAUGGACCAGGCAUAGCUCACUCUUAAAACCUAACUCAAUCUCAAAACCUAACUCAAGAGGGAAGGAUUGCUCAAAUCUUUAUAAGGUGCACAUUACUCACAUACAUAACCAAUAUGAGAUACUUAACAAAAAUGUAUCAAAAAAUUAGCAUAACUUUUGAAUAUAAUGAAUUAAAUCCUAAGCUAGGCUGCAG